UCAUAUGUCCCAUUUUCCUAUUUCGUUCAUAGUGCUUCAAAGAGCAGAAGCAAGUUCGUUCAAAUGGCUUCAAGAACAAAAGCUAAUCCAGUUGUUGCGAUUCUAAACUCAAUCCAACAUGCAACAACACAAUUCUAACGAGAAUUUGUUAGAAUCGUAGCAACGUGAAAUUUUGCGGUUCUAAAGGUGUACGUGCAAUCUUCUCCUAGAGUAUUAUACAGAAUUUUCCCUACUCCAGGUAUGCUAAGGCUAUCCCUUCUUUCUUUUGGCAUGAUCCAUACGAUACGAACGAAACGUGUAAAUGCACAAAUUCCAUAAAUGACUCCAUUCAUAGAAGUAUUAGAGAUAUCUAUAUUCUUGAAUUUCCAUGUGUCAUAAUAUUUUAUUAUUUGUUCAUGGGUCUCAGAAAAAUACAAAAGUUGAAAAGAGUUUACUUUACGAUAUUACUCAUAGGCAAAAUGGUCUUAUGACAUUCCGAAAGAUUUUAUUAACGUACUUUUCAUGCAUUGCAUUCAUGUACAUUGAUCCAUGACCAGAUGACGUUAUAUACGCAUAUAUAUGUAUGUAUAUAUAUGUAUAUGAGAUAUGAGAAAGGUUAUAGCAUUAUAUACGCACCACCACCUGAUCAGCUGGUAUACGUUGAUGAUUUUGCCCACAGUGGCCGAUAUGAUAUGAUGGGAUGCCCUCAGAGGCUGAUAUUGAUAUGAAACAUGUACCUAUGCACGACAUGACAUUCAUACGCAUAUGCAUGACGCUAAAAGUAUUUCAUGAACAGAGUUAUCUAGACUUACAGGUUGAGUCAAUUACUCUAUAUUUAUUCCAUGUCUGUUAUGUACUUAUUUAUGUGCCUUACAUAAACAGUACAUUUUUCAUACUGACAUUCCUUUUGCCUAGGGACGCUGCGUUUCAUGCACGCAGGUCCCGAUAGACAGGUCGAGAGCCCUCCAAGUAGGCUAUCAACUCAACGGAAGAUGUUGGUGCGCUCCACUUACUUCGGAGUUGCCCGUUUGGUUAGUAUAAUUUAGACAUGUAUUGUUUGGUAUGGUGGGACUCUGUCCCGACCUUGAUGACAUUUAUGUACUUUUAGAGGCUUAUAGACAUAUGUCG
This 1107-nucleotide long non-coding RNA is filed under the name Nicotiana tabacum (common tobacco). RNAcentral's name for it is "long non-coding RNA (NTAB_LNC019371)". Lineage: Eukaryota; Viridiplantae; Streptophyta; Magnoliopsida; Solanales; Solanaceae. The record is from RNAcentral.